GGACGAACGCUGGCGGCGUGCUUAACACAUGCAAGUCGAGCGGUAAGGCCUUUCGGGGUACACGAGCGGCGAACGGGUGAGUAACACGUGGGUGAUCUGCCCUGCACUCUGGGAUAAGCCUGGGAAACUGGGUCUAAUACCGGAUAUGACCUGCUCUCGCAUGGGGGUGGGUGGAAAGAUUUA
RNAcentral lists this ribosomal RNA (183 nucleotides) under uncultured soil bacterium. Its description in RNAcentral is "partial 16S ribosomal RNA". It matches the Rfam family "Bacterial small subunit ribosomal RNA", at positions 27 to 212 of the family's 1533-position model. The record is from RNAcentral.